Molecule: long non-coding RNA, 440 nt
Organism: Candoia aspera
Lineage: Eukaryota; Metazoa; Chordata; Lepidosauria; Squamata; Candoiidae
Exons: 2
Source: RefSeq, a predicted model, not a curated record
UACUCAAUAGGCCAAUAGGCUGUCUUUAGAUUUAGUUCUAUUCUCAAGACAGGUUUUGAUCACAUUGCUUUCUUUACAUUUAGAAGUUCUUACAAACAAUGCACGUUUCAAGCCGUGCUUCAUGGAAAUACAUCAGUUUCUGAGUGGCCUAAUGAAAGUAUUGCUUCUGUGGAUUGUCAAUAAGAGAAUAUGUUAUUGAGAAAACCUAGAAAGUACUUUCCAUACCAGCUUAUUAUUUUCGUGUUUUUCCAGCUGAAGCAUAACCUCUGCAGUAAUGUAUUGGCAUCAUAAACCCAGGAAAUGGGAAUCCCCCAGUAAUGCAACACAGUGGCCUCUUGGUGGCACCAGAGAGCUAUCUGUGUAACACGUGUCUGCCCCCCCCCCCCCGCAUUGUUUCUGUAUAAAGAUUUAAUCUAAUAAAAAAUGUAUUUACCCAGCCA